AAAUACAACGACGGUAAAAAUAGUAAAUUUUAGCUAGAAAAAGGUAAUUUUUAUUCGGGUAUUAUUUUUCGGGGUGUUUUAUUUUGGAAGUUUGGGUUAUAAAUGGUGUGGACCGGUUUGGGGUGUGAGGCCCAAACCCUUUUUCUUUUCUCUCUCCCUCCCUCCCGAUUUUUCUUCUCCUCCCACCCGAUUUUCUUCUCUCUACACCCACCGGUAUUCCGGCCGUCCUCCCGCCGCCGUCCGACCUCCGUUCGCCACCGGACCGGUCCCGUUCGGUCGGUCUCCCUCCCAGCAACAUUUCUAGACCGGUGAGAGGAGCCCUAGCGCCGCCGUGAGUGAGCGGUGCCGCCCGAAAGCUUCGACUGCCGAAUUGGUUUUUUCGCCGGAACUUCCUCCUCCGGCCACCAAUCCGGGCAAGCUUGGUAUGGUUUUGUAGCCCUCCAACCCAGCAACCUUGCCCUAAAAGGACUCACUCCCUCUUGAGCUAGGUAAGGAGAAAUUUGAGGUGGAAGUUUUAUGGUGUUUUUGAUGUUUUUAAUCGAUUGCCCUAGUUAGGCUUGGAAUUGGUGUUUGUGCUAGUUAUGAAAGUUGUAGAGCUUGAUGAGAGGAAGAUGCUGUUAAAAUUUCAUAGGUUUUGGAGGUCGCCGGAAUUGACCUCCGGCCGCCGCUGCCGGCGGAGCCGCCGGCGGCGCCGCCGCCGGUUGGGAGAUUUUAAUGUUGUUAAAUUUGGAAUAUUAAGGGGAGUUUAUUGAAGUGAGUUAUGGAAUUUUUGGAUGAGUUUUGGAUAGGUUUAUGAAUUUCCGAAGUGUGGUAUUUUUGGCGGGUAAUUAAUGUAGAAUCCGGCCGUUGGAUUUAAGUCGUAUUUUAGAGAGGUUGUAUUUACGACUGUGGAGUAUGAUAUUUAAGUUCGGAUCGUCCGAUGUAAGAAUAUCGAAGUUAGGCAAUGAUGAGCGUAAUUAUGGCUCUCGGGUAAUUUUGCCUAUUUUGAUUAAAUAUUGGAU
RNAcentral lists this long non-coding RNA (1001 nucleotides) under Fragaria vesca (wild strawberry). RNAcentral describes it as "long non-coding RNA (FVES_LNC005193)". Lineage: Eukaryota; Viridiplantae; Streptophyta; Magnoliopsida; Rosales; Rosaceae. The record is from RNAcentral.